CUACGUGCCAGCAGCCGCGGUAAUACGGAGGGUGCGAGCGUUAAUCGGAAUAACUGGGCGUAAAGGGCACGCAGGCGGUGACUUAAGUGAGGUGUGAAAGCCCCGGGCUUAMCCUGGGAAUUGCAUUUCAUACUGGGUCGCUAGAGUACUUUAGGGAGGGGUAGAAUUCCACGUGUAGCGGUGAAAUGCGUAGAGAUGUGGAGGAAUACCGAAGGCGAAGGCAGCCCCUUGGGAAUGUACUGACGCUCAUGUGCGAAAGCGUGGGGAGCAAACAGGAUUAGAUACCCUGGUAGUCCACGCUGUAAACGAUGUCGAUUUGGGGAUUGGGCUUAAAGCUUGGUGCCCGUAGCUAACGUGAUAAAUCGACCGCCUGGGGAGUACGGCCGCAAGGUUAAAACUCAAAUGAAUUGACGGGGGCCCGCACAAGCGGUGGAGCAUGUGGUUUAAUUCGAUGCAACGCGAAGAACCUUACCUACUCUU
Molecule: ribosomal RNA, 480 nt
Filed under: uncultured bacterium
Lineage: Bacteria
Description: bacterial SSU rRNA
Rfam family: Bacterial small subunit ribosomal RNA
Source: RNAcentral